RNAcentral lists this transfer RNA (85 nucleotides) under bacterium 336/3. It matches the Rfam family "tRNA". Rfam says of the family: Transfer RNA (tRNA) molecules are approximately 80 nucleotides in length. Their secondary structure includes four short double-helical elements and three loops (D, anti-codon, and T loops). Lineage: Bacteria; Pseudomonadati. The record is from Rfam by way of RNAcentral.
GGAAGUACGCCAAAGUUGGAGAGUUGGGAUGGUCUGUAAAACCAUUGGCUUUAAGUCUGAGUAGGUUCGAGUCCUACUACUUCCA